This 6407-nucleotide small RNA is filed under the name Pongo abelii (Sumatran orangutan). RNAcentral describes it as "retained intron". Lineage: Eukaryota; Metazoa; Chordata; Mammalia; Primates; Hominidae. The record is from RNAcentral.
CACCGGCCUCUGUCCCGGGCACAGUCUUCCCCAGCCGCACCUGCCUCACUGUCAGCCCCAGAGCCUGCCAGCCAGGCCCGAGUCCUCUCCAGCUCAGAGACCCCUGCCAGGACCCUGCCCUUCACCACAGGUGAGACCGGGAGGAGGGUGGCAGGUGGAGGGAGGGGCUCGGCUGCACGAGUCCAUGUGGGUGUCGUGGUGUCACUUGGGACGUUUUUAGAGGCCACAGAGCGCUUAGCCUUGUUAGGCCCACGUAGUACCCAUGGAGCACAUGGAACAGCUGGUUAUUGCAUUUGGCCGAUGAGGACCAAGGCUCACGAAAUCUAAGGUGACAAGCCUGUGGUCAAAUAGCAAGUGGUAGUCAAGCCAGGAUAAGAAUUCCAGUCUCCUGCCAAUACACUCAGCCCUUUUAAAAAAUGAUAUUUAUUACUGUUGCUCUGCUUGUAAAAAGAGCUCAGAAGUAUUUUAGACAUUUUGAAGAGUACAGAAAAACCUAAGAAAAAAAGGAAAAUCACCAACCAGUAUCCCACCACCCACAAGUAACCCCUCUGAAAUUCUGCUGUAUUUCAGUCCAGGCUUUGUUCUGGCCAUAUGUACAUGUACAGAUGCCAUGAACCCAUGAACUACGUUUUGUAUCCUGCUUUACUUAGUUAACAUAUUAUGAAUCCUUCUUGGCAUAAUUAGUCUUUAAAACUGAGAGUCUCAUAGUAUUUCAUUAUUGUAUUUCAUUUUUACUGAGGGAUUCCUUACCAGUUAGAUUAUAGCUUAUUUGAAUUUCCUUAUGCAUAAAUCUUUCCUCAUGCUUGGGAUUAUUUCCCAAGGUUCACUCUAAAGGAGUAGCAUUCCUGGGUCACAUGGUGUGAGCAUUUUGAGAGUCGUUGGUGUCCUAGACGCACAGAAAUUGACCCUCCCACCCGCAAUGAGCAGGACCCUCCUCUGAAGACUUCCCACGGGUCAGACUGAAAUAGUCACUUCUCCAAAGCUGGAUUUGUCUAUCACAUGGUCCAGUGUCAUCGUGGGCUUCUUAGCUCCCGGUUUGGGCGUUUCCUAGGAAUUCUUUUCCCUCCUGCUGCCCCUUGGUAGCCUCUCUGGGUUCAUGACACGCGUGUGAGACGCUGUACGUUAGGCCUCAUGCUUUGCUCUGAGCACUUGAGGGCCUUAUGCUGGGCCCUCGAGUGCUGGGCCACCCAGCAGUCGUGUCCGCAUGUGGGAAGGCCGUGCCUCUGUGGCAGCUGUGUUGGCUGGAUCUGUGUUGGUGUGUUGGCUGCUGCCACCUGGGGAAGUGUCUGGGCGUGUGUGGACAGGUGUGAGGGGCUGGGGCUGGGGCAGGGGGCAGGACGAAAUGCAGGCCUGUGUGGGUGUGAGGGGUGUGUGCCCGCCCGGCUCCAUGUGGGUGCCUGCUGUGGCGGUGCUGGCGUGUUCUCAGCAGCCAAGGCCAUGGGGCGUGAGGACUCCCUGGGUCCCCGCUCUGACCCUUGCUCCUGCAGGGCUGAUCUAUGACUCGGUCAUGCUGAAGCACCAGUGCUCCUGCGGUGACAACAGCAGGCACCCGGAGCACGCCGGCCGCAUCCAGAGCAUCUGGUCCCGGCUGCAGGAGCGGGGACUCCGGAGCCAGUGUGAGUGUCUCCGAGGCCGGAAGGCCUCCCUGGAAGAGCUGCAGUCGGUCCACUCUGAGCGGCACGUGCUCCUCUACGGCACCAACCCGCUCAGCCGCCUCAAACUGGACAACGGGAAGCUGGCAGGGCUCCUGGCACAGCGGAUGUUUGUGAUGCUGCCCUGUGGUGGGGUUGGGGUAAGUGUGCCCAGGGGUCUCAGGGGGGCGUUGCCAGGGCUCUCAGCUCUCCUCCCUGUGGUUCUCCCAGGCCCAGCCCCUGCAGAACCUCUGCUUGUUGUGGUUCUGCUAGACAGGGUGGGCCAGGGACUUCCUGAGGUGCCCCCUGCAGCAGGAAGCUCCUUUUGGACGGGCGUGUCUCGGACCCACAAUGUCCCCCGAAUGCGGAGCCCAGCCUAAGCCUCGCCCCUAGAAGGUGUCUGGUAGAUGUUGAGUGAGGUUUCAGGAGCAGGGCCAAGGCUGGGGCUUAGGAUCAUCUCUCCCUUCAAAGACCCCCAUGAUUAGGCAUUAGCCGCCAGGCUGCUCUGUCUGCUCUGAAGUGGCAAGUUGGGGUACCUCAGCCUGGUCCCCAGACCUUGGGCUGCCUGGUGUGACAUCACGGUGGUGCUUCCAGUGUCCUUGGCGAUCCCAGCACUCCCUACUCCGAGACACAGCCCCAAACUCCGCUCGCGAGCUUUGCUUCCUCAGUCCUCACCCCUUUGUGAAGGGAGCUUCCCGCUCCCUCUGGCUCAGCUCUUCUCGCCUAACACUAUCCCUGCAGUAGUUUCUCAAGCAAGGUGUGUAGAGGCAGGGGAUGGAGGCCUCAUUCCGGAGGGGAAGUGGGAGCUGUAGCUGGUGGGGGACUUUGGGAGCCAGUCAGUGCCCUAUUCACAACUUCCCAUUUCUUGCCACUUUCUGGUUUUUCCAACUGUUGUUGCUUCUGUUUUCUCCGCCCUCCUCUCCCUCUCUGUCUUUCUCUCUCUCUCUCUUUCUCCAGCCUCUUGCGACUCUCUCUGCCUUCCUCGCCUCUCUUGGUCUGCCUCGCCCUCCCCAUCUCCCCAUCAUGCCCCCCGGCCCCUCCCUAGCCUUGAGGCCCAGGGACUGGGUUUGGGGGGCCUCCCAGCCUGGGCUAGGGGCCCUGAGUGGAAGACAGUGGUGCAGACGGCCCCUCCAGCUCCGACCGUCCCGCAGGGCCUGAGCAGAGUCAGCUGGGGCUUAAAACCCCCUCCCGGCCCAAACCCCAAGUCCCGCCCAGGUAACGCCAUGCCCCCUCCCCUGACCGGGGAGGCAGGCGUGAUGCUGCCAGCAGAGUGCUGGCCAGAUAAUGGGCUGGUGCUGGGACUUAAGCUGGGAAAAAGUCAUGCUGGGAUUGGGGGACACAGGAGGCCUUGCCUUUGGGCGGUGGGGCACUGGGGAGGCAGCACUGUCUGCCCAGCUCCCUGCCCCUGGGGUCCUGGCCAUGGGGUGGGGACCACCCCCUUGGGCCCUGUCUCCUGUGUGAAGCCUUGGAUGAUGCGGGCCCUGACUCUGGCUCCCGCAGGUGGACACUGACACCAUCUGGAAUGAGCUGCAUUCCUCCAAUGCAGCCCGCUGGGCCGCUGGCAGUGUCACUGACCUCGCCUUCAAAGUGGCUUCUCGUGAGCUAAAGAAUGGUUUCGCUGUGGUGCGGCCCCCAGGACACCAUGCAGAUCAUUCAACAGCCAUGGGCUUCUGCUUCUUCAACUCAGUGGCCAUCGCCUGCCGGCAGCUGCAGCAGCAGAGCAAGGCCAGCAAGAUCCUCAUUGUAGACUGGGACGUGCACCAUGGCAACGGCACCCAGCAAACCUUCUACCAAGACCCCAGUGUGCUCUACAUCUCCCUGCAUCGCCAUGACGACGGCAACUUCUUCCCGGGGAGUGGGGCUGUGGAUGAGGUAGGGGCUGGCAGCGGUGAGGGCUUCAAUGUCAAUGUGGCCUGGGCUGGAGGUCUGGACCCCCCCAUGGGGGAUCCUGAGUACCUGGCUGCUUUCAGGAUUGUCGUGAUGCCCAUCGCCCGAGAGUUCUCUCCAGACCUAGUCCUGGUGUCUGCUGGAUUUGAUGCUGCUGAGGGUCACCCGGCCCCACUGGGUGGCUACCAUGUUUCUGCCAAAUGUUUUGGGUACAUGACGCAGCAACUGAUGAACCUGGCAGGAGGUGCAGUGGUGCUGGCCUUGGAGGGUGGCCAUGACCUCACAGCCAUCUGUGACGCCUCUGAGGCCUGUGUGGCUGCUCUUCUGGGUAACAAGGUGGAUCCCCUUUCAGAAGAAGGCUGGAAACAGAAACCCAACCUCAAUGCCAUCCGCUCUCUGGAGGCCGUAAUCCGGGUGCACAGUAAGUGUGGAGAUGGGACACUCGCUGAGCUCAGACUGAAGGAUCUUGGUGCUACCCUGCCCCACCGUGGCCAGAUCCUAGGGCUUCCGGUGCCAGCCAGGUGACCUGCUGUUGGUCUGGAGUAAGAUUCCUGUGAGUGACCCAGGCAGCAAUGGUGAACACCCCCCAGUGAGGGGGUAUCCUCUGAGCCCUCCUGAUGGAGCCAGCAGGGCCUACAAGACAGUGGCCCCUCAAGGUAGGGACUGGCCUCCAUCUCUAGCUACAGCCCUAGACCAGGGCCAGAUCAAGAGCAACACUCAGGCCUUGUUUGCCAAAAGGCCUGGUUCCCAUCCCUCCCCUCAGUCCUGGCCAUGGGGGUCUCAGGAGCUCUGCUGGCUUGGGGGCUGCAUCUUGGGAUAACCCCCACAUUUGUAAAGUACUUUAAAUUUUCAACUUCAACUCAACAUCUAUUGAGCAUCUUAUGUCAAGACCCAUAAUCUAUACUAGGGAUAAAAAUUAAUAAAAUAGAUUCCCAUAUCAAGGGCUGGGUAGGGGAGCCGUGAUGUCUUUACAUAAUGGUAAAGACAUGGCUGAUUCCUCUUACGGUGGGUGCCCUCACACUGAGCCAGGUUCCAGGACAUGGUUCCUCACAGCAGCAGGCAGGAGGAACAUUCUCCUGGCCUGGGCACCCAUGCAGAGGGGCCGUGGUGAUGGUCAGCUCUCCCACGUUGUGUUCGUCCCACCUCCCAGGCCCUCUUUUCCUGAGUGCUGGGCUGAGCACUGGUGGGGUCUGUGUUUAAAUGGGAGGCCCGAGCUUGGGGCUCUGGGAGGUCACUGUGACACAGACCCUGUCUGCAGGCAAGCAGGCUCUCUUGAUGCUCUCAGGAGCCCUGUACCUGUGGGGAAUGAGUCAAAGGUGGCCUUGCAGCCACAGGGGAUGAGAGAAAGGCUGGGCACCUGCUAGGACUCCCUCGCAGCCAUGUUGAACCCACUCUGCUUACCCUGUCAGGCUGUGCGGGAGGGGGAGCGAAGUGAGGAGAGGGGCAGGUGGGAGAGCCGACCCCAAGUGGAGGACAGGCCCGCUACUCCGGGGCCCUGGGCCUGAGACACCAACCUCAAUAUCCGGUCUAGGACACAGUGUGGAGGGGCUUGCUUUCUCCAACCCUUUCUGACCUGGCAUCUUACCCCAGGUAAAUACUGGGGCUGCAUGCAGCGCCUGGCCUCCUGUCCAGACUCCUGGGUGCCUAGAGUGCCAGGGGCUGACAAAGAAGAAGUGGAGGCAGUGACCGCACUGGCAUCCCUCUCUGUGGGCAUCCUGGCUGAAGAUAGGCCGUCGGAGCAGCUGGUGGAGGAGGAAGAACCUAUGAAUCUCUAAGGCUCUGGAACCAUCUGCCCGCCCACCAUGCCCUUGGGACCUGGUUCUCUUCUAACCCCUGGCAAUAGCCCCCAUUCCUGGCUCUUUAGAGAUCCUGUGGGCAGGUAGUUGGAACCAGAGAACAGCCUGCCUGCCUUGACAGUUAUCCCAGGGAGCCUGAGAAAAUCCCUGGGUCUAGAAUGGGGACUGGAGAGGACCCUGAGAGGAGACGGGCUGGGCGGCGACCCCCACAGGGUUCUCGAGAACAGAUUCUCCCCUCUGGUAUGGGCCCUGGCUGUGGCCCCCAUUCCUCAGGACUGCACAGAGGAGGACUGGCUCCGGCUCCGUCGGGCUCACCCUUAACCACUAUUCCUGGCUCUGCAAACCCCAGACUUUGCACACAGCCCCAGGCUCCACACAGAAAUGUGAACUUGGCCUCAGACAGGCUGGCCCUUCCUAGGCUCUAGGGGCUGGGGGAGAGUGGGGAGCCAAGAGGUCCCAUAUUCCUGAGUGCAGGGGGAGUCCCUCUCACCUGCUUCCUCAGAUGACCCUGGAAGCUUCCCCCUACCACCAGGCACUGAGACGAAGCUCCCAGACAGCCGAGACUGGCAGCCCUCCAUCUGGUCCAUACCCUCGCCAGAGGCCCCCCUACAUCAACCUCCUGGCGAUGCCCUGGUGGAGCAGAUGGGUGCUCUGGGAGUCCUGUGCUUCCUGAUCCAAUGGUGCCAAACCCUUCAUCUCCCCCAGAAGCACAGCAUACCCCUGGGACCCCUCGGCCACUGCCCACUCGGGGGAGCCUUCUCUGUUUCUGGGGCCUCCCCCACCACAGCUCUGAUUCCCACCCCACAUAGGAAUAGCCUGGCUGAGGGGGAAGGGGUGGGAGAGAAGAUACAGACAUGGAGGAGGGGAGGCUGCUCUGGCAAAGUCUUCAAGGCUUUUGGAGGUCCAGGCCUGGGGUCAAGAAGGAAAAUGUGUGUGAGCAUGUGUGUGAAUGAGGCGUGUGUGUGAGCGUGUGUGAGUGAGGCGUGUGUGUGUGUCUUUCCUAGGACCCACCAUACCCUGUGUAUGUAUGCAUGUUUUUGUAAAAAGGAACAAAAUGGAAAAAAAUCUGAACAAUAAAUGUUUUAUUUGCUUU